RNAcentral lists this ribosomal RNA (1463 nucleotides) under metagenome. Its description in RNAcentral is "bacterial SSU rRNA". It matches the Rfam family "Bacterial small subunit ribosomal RNA". The record is from RNAcentral.
AGAGUUUGAUCCUGGCUCAGGAUCAACGCUGGCGGUGCGCCUUAUGCAUGCAAGUCGAACGGUCUCGAUUUAUCGAGAUAGUGGCGUACGGGUGAGUAACACGUAAGUGACCUACCCUUAAGUAGAGAAUAACUCCGAGAAAUUGGGGCUAAUGCUUUAUGUGCUAGUUUAGGUAGUGCUUUAUUAGUAAAGUCUUCGGACGCUUAGGGAUGGGCUUGUGGCCGAUUAGCUUGUUGGUGGAGUAACGGUCUACCAAGGCCAUUAUCGGUAGCUGGUUUGAGAGGACGGUCAGCCAUACUGGGAUUGAGAUACGGCCCAGACUCCUACGGGAGGCAGCAGCAAGGAAUUUUGUGCAAUGGGCGAAAGCCUGACACAGCGACACCGCGUGGGGGAUGAAGGCUUUCGAGUCGUAAACCCUUUUUUAUCAGGGAAGAAUAAUGACGGUACCUGAUGAAUAAGUCUCGGCUAACUACGUGCCAGCAGCCGCGGUAAUACGUAGGAGGCAAGCGUUAUCCGGAAUUAUUGGGCGUAAAGAGGGCGUAGGCGGUCUUUCAAGUCGGAUGUAAAAUCUCCCAGCUCAACUGGGAGGGAUCAUUUGAUACUGUUAGACUAGAGGGCAGCAGGGGGAGGUAGAAUUCCCGGUGUAGUGGUGGAAUGCGUAGAUAUCGGGAGGAAUACCAGUAGCGAAGGCGGCCUCCUGGGCUGUUGCUGACGCUGAGGCCCGAAAGCGUGGGGAGCGAACAGGAUUAGAUACCCUGGUAGUCCACGCCGUAAACGAUGGACACUAGGUAUGGGGAGUAUCGACCAUCUCUGUGCCGUAGCUAACGUUUUAAGUGUCCCGCCUGGGGAGUACGGCCGCAAGGCUAAAACUCAAAGGAAUUGACGGGGGCCCGCACAAGCAGCGGAGCGUGUGGUUUAAUUCGAUUCAAAGCGAAGAACCUUACCAAGGCUUGACAUGUCGGAAGUAGCGAACCGAAAGGUAAGCGACCUGUUGAAUCAGGAGCCGUCACAGGUGCUGCAUAGUUGUCGUCAGCUCGUGCCGUGAGGUGUUAGGUUAAGUCCUGUAACGAGCGCGACCCUCGUUGCCAGUUGAUUUCUCUGGCGAGACUGCCCCGUAAAACGGGAGGAAGGUGGGGAUGACGUCAAAUCAGCACGGCCCUUAUGCCUUGGGCUACACACACGCUACAAUGGAUGGUACAAUUGGUUGCAAGGGAGCGAUCCGGAGCUAAUCCUAAGAGCCAUCCUCAGUUCGGAUUGCAGACUGAAACUCGCCUGCAUGAAGUUGGAGUUGCUAGUAACCGCAGGUCAGCACACUGCGGUGAAUGCGUUCUCGGGCCUUGUACACACCGCCCGUCACGUCAUGAAAGUUGGCAACACCUGAAGUCGAUGGGCUAACCCCGAUUUAUCGGGGAGGUAGUCGCCGAGGGUGGGGUUGAUGAUUGGGACGAAGUCGUAACAAGGUA